RNAcentral lists this transfer RNA (59 nucleotides) under Toxocara canis (dog roundworm). It matches the Rfam family "tRNA", at positions 7 to 64 of the family's 71-position model. From Rfam's summary of the family: Transfer RNA (tRNA) molecules are approximately 80 nucleotides in length. Their secondary structure includes four short double-helical elements and three loops (D, anti-codon, and T loops). Lineage: Eukaryota; Metazoa; Nematoda; Chromadorea; Rhabditida; Toxocaridae. The record is from Rfam by way of RNAcentral.
GUAGCUCAAUGAUGGAGCCUCCGCUUUAUAUGUGGAAAAACCUGGGUUCGAUUCCCGGC